RNAcentral lists this long non-coding RNA (292 nucleotides) under Pan troglodytes (chimpanzee). RNAcentral's name for it is "long non-coding RNA NONPTRT010783". Lineage: Eukaryota; Metazoa; Chordata; Mammalia; Primates; Hominidae. The record is from RNAcentral.
CAGACCUAUGAAGGUCGAAGGGGAAGAAAAGCUGUAUCGAUUGUUGAGAUCUGGCGACUUGUUUAAAUUUCAUCAGCCUCACUUCUAUGAACUCUCAGGCCUCAUGUGUACCAGCUCUCUGCUCUCCUUUGCCUUGGGACGUUCCAUCCCUGGAAGUUUCCCUGCCCACAUCUUUGUAGAGAGUCCAUUCUCCAAGCUUCAGUGUGUCAUCUGUGAGGACUGUGACCAACCUGGUACAUCGCCUCAGGGCAUUCAUUUCAGGCUCCUUCUAAAUGGUCAAGGUACAGUUGAC